This 369-nucleotide ribosomal RNA is filed under the name uncultured organism. Its description in RNAcentral is "bacterial SSU rRNA". It matches the Rfam family "Bacterial small subunit ribosomal RNA", at positions 526 to 896 of the family's 1533-position model. The record is from RNAcentral.
CGUAGGGUGCGAGCGUUAAUCGGAAUUACUGGGCGUAAAGCGUGCGCAGGCGGUUUUGUAAGACAGAUGUGAAAUCCCCGGGCUCAACCUGGGACCUGCAUUUGUGACUGCAAGGCUAGAGUACGGUAGGGGGGAUGGAAUUCCGCGUGUAGCAGUGAAAUGCGUAGAUAUGCGGAGGAACACCGAUGGCGAAGGCAAUCCCCUGGACCUGUACUGACGCUCAUGCACGAAAGCGUGGGGAGCAAACAGGAUUAGAUACCCUGGUAGUCCACGCCCUAAACGAUGUCAACUGGUUGUUGGGUCUUUACUGACUCAGUAACGAAGCUAACGCGUGAAGUUGACCGCCUGGGGAGUACGGCCGCAAGGUUG